GACGUAGGGCGCGAGCGUUGUCCGGAUUUAUUGGGCGUAAAGAGCUCGUAGGCGGCUUGUCGCGUCGACUGUGAAAACCCGCGGCUCAACCGCGGCCCUGCAGCCGAUACGGGCAGGCUAGAGUUCGGUAGGGGAGACUGGAAUUCCUGGUGUAGCGGUGAAAUGCGCAGAUAUCAGGAGGAACACCGAUGGCGAAGGCAGGUCUCUGGGCCGAUACUGACGCUGAGGAGCGAAAGCGUGGGGAGCGAACGGG
This 253-nucleotide ribosomal RNA is filed under the name uncultured bacterium. RNAcentral describes it as "partial 16S ribosomal RNA". It matches the Rfam family "Bacterial small subunit ribosomal RNA", at positions 524 to 776 of the family's 1533-position model. The record is from RNAcentral.